ACUUUGUUCUGCGCUUCAAAGGCGGAGUGCGGGGCUGUGAGAGAAAGCAAGAGGGUCAGGCUCUCGCCCGGCGACGGGCGGCUGAGGCCUUCGUAUUCUUGGAACUUUUAAAAUAUAAAACAAACUUAUCUUCCCCGUCUGAAGAAGGGGAGCAUGUUUCUGACUACUCUGGGGCGCGCUGCUUCCCCCCAAACGCGAAUGGUGCGCUCCAAGCGGGAGGGGGAGAAGCAGAUUAGUUGUUUAGGGUAAAUUGGGCCAGUCCCAGAUCGGCGGCGCAUGCGCCCGCAGACCCCGUAACCGAGGACGAGGAGGGGCCUUGGGGAGCGCUGCCAAACGCGGAAGUGGAUCUCUGGCUUCCCCGGGACAUCCGAGUCAAUGUCCCCAGAGCUGCCGCUCUAGCUUCUGGGCGAUGCCGGGGAGCCUUUCUCCCCAAACUGCCUACUCCCCGGGAAUCUCUCUCUCUUCCUGGUCCCCCCAAAUACCAAGCAACUCUUCCAGUUCCACCCGGUGAACUGGUCUCUUGAUAGGAACUUCUGGGAAAUGCCCCUCCCCCAGCCCCUUGUCUUGGUCAAUUCCUUGUUUCUUCUCCCCACCACUGGUGUGGGGGAGUUCCUUGUCUUCCCACUCACAACCACAGAGCUACAAGUCCAUUCCCUAUGCCCAGGCUAGGAGAGCCGCACUUCUUCCUACAGCUGACAGGUUUGGUUUUUGGAGGGGAAAGGGGAACUGUUUCGGAAUCAGUAAUGGAAAUUGCCAGCCGUGAACAGAGAAACCGAUUAUUGAUGACUAAGUUCAGCGCGGAUGCAACAUUCUCCAGACCUCUUGAAGGGAUGACCCAUCGCUGAGGCCCUUGUGAGCGAACUCUAAAUUCCUGCUACUUCCAAGAAGAUUUCCUGGCUCUUAGGAGUAACUGCCAUAUACCUUACUGGGCUAACGGGCAUAGGAGAGCUUCAUAGAGAGUAUUACCUAGAUUAAUUUGAUUACCAAAUGUUGCUAUCUUACUUUAUAUACCAAAUCACAUUUC
Long non-coding RNA from Sapajus apella (tufted capuchin), 1024 nucleotides. RefSeq lists it as uncharacterized. The transcript has 2 exons. Lineage: Eukaryota; Metazoa; Chordata; Mammalia; Primates; Cebidae. The record is from RefSeq and is a predicted model, not a curated record.